Molecule: transfer RNA, 73 nt
Filed under: Selenihalanaerobacter shriftii
Lineage: Bacteria; Bacillati; Bacillota; Clostridia; Halanaerobiales; Halobacteroidaceae
Rfam family: tRNA
About the family: Transfer RNA (tRNA) molecules are approximately 80 nucleotides in length. Their secondary structure includes four short double-helical elements and three loops (D, anti-codon, and T loops).
Source: Rfam by way of RNAcentral
ACGGGUGUAGCUCAAUUGGCAGAGCACUGGACUCCAAAUCCAGGUGCUGCGGGUUCAAGUCCUGCCACCCGUG